GUGUCGUCUGAGUAAAAACAAACAAAAUUAAAACAAAACUUUCAACAACGGAUCUCUUGGUUCUGGCAUCGAUGAAGAACGCAGCGAAAUGCGAUAAGUAAUGCGAAUUGCAGAAUCCGUGAGUCAUCGAAUCUUUGAACGCAUAUUGCGCCCUCUGGUAUUCCGGAGGGCAUGCCUGUUCGAGCGUCAUUAUCACCCCUCAAGCCCGGCUUGUUGUUGGACCCGGCGGGAGCUUCGCGCCCCCGCCCGUCUCAAAGAUAAUGACGGCGUCUGUGAGGACUCCUGUACACUGAGCUUUCGGGCACGUACUAGGCUAGAAGUCCAGACCCGGUCUUUUUGUCGGCGUCCGCGCCGACACCCCCCUUUUUAUCAAGGUUGACCUCGGAUCAGGUAGGAAUACCCGCUGAACUUAA
This 413-nucleotide ribosomal RNA is filed under the name uncultured fungus. Its description in RNAcentral is "eukaryotic LSU rRNA". The stretch from base 37 to 189 matches the Rfam family "5.8S ribosomal RNA". The record is from RNAcentral. Lineage: Eukaryota; Fungi.